CCAGGAUGGUGGCCUAAUUGGGUUUAAUCUCUUAACUGCUGCAGGGAUUACUAGUGAAAUAAUCGUCUUUUUGUGCCACUCACCGGGGUGAUAAAUGCCCACAACCACGCUAAUUGAAAAAUUUUCGGCUGGAUUUGAUAAUUUUGUUUUUCUUUUUUGCUCUGAAUUCUGAGGAAGCGUGUGGUGAGCGUUUGAGCCUGGCAGUCAACCUUAUCAUUUCAUUCAAGUCGAUCCCUCCAAUAUUUUCUUCUCCAUCACAUCAUGAAUUGAACCUCUAGGACAGUUGGCACCCUUGACCCAGCUAACGACUUUCAGGUUAAGUUGCUUCAAAGUGAGACCCUGUGGAGGAAGAUUGCUGUUGAUUGAGUUCAACCCUUGCAUCCUUAACUCGUGGGAGUAGUUGUACCAUCGCGUCUGAUAGGCGAAAUUAAGUUUGACCAGGCCGAUCAUUUUUUCUGGAAAGGCAAAGCCGCAGACGCACAUUCAGCAAAGAUCAUUGUUGUGACGUCGAGAAAUCUUUUGCUGGAAGAGUGACCUCCGCAUUCACGUGUAGCGCAAGCUGAAACUGUCUUUGAUUGAUUGAUUCCCUCACUGGUUACUCUCGCCAGCCGUUGGUGGCUGCAAAUGUUUCACUGGAGCAUAGGAUCGGCGCUCCUCAAAGUUGGUUACCCCAUAAUUUUUUGGCUGUGAGCCUGUGACUUGGCCGUGAGCUUGAGAAUUGAAAGCCAAUGGUCUAAUAAUAGCGGAAGUCUAACAUCAAACUUGUGUCGUCGUCUCAAGGAACUUCUGAGGCUCUCCUUCAAUUUUUAACCUUUUAAGACUUAGCCAACUCCAGGCUAGUCAAAACUUUAAAUGUGUGCUGACAAAGCGUGCGAAAACUGCGAGAUCUCUGAGUUGAGACCAAAAAUUUCUGGCAGCAUGGGAAGAGGAUGGAUUGCAAUUGUGAACUGGGAAUUGGAAAUUACGGG
Molecule: small RNA, 968 nt
Filed under: Histoplasma ohiense
Lineage: Eukaryota; Fungi; Ascomycota; Eurotiomycetes; Onygenales; Ajellomycetaceae
Description: hypothetical lncRNA
Source: RNAcentral